This 201-nucleotide ribosomal RNA is filed under the name Triticum aestivum (bread wheat). Its description in RNAcentral is "partial small subunit ribosomal RNA". The record is from RNAcentral. Lineage: Eukaryota; Viridiplantae; Streptophyta; Magnoliopsida; Poales; Poaceae.
AUGGAGACCUCCCUACGGCUGCACGACGACGACAACACCUCCAGGCAGCAGCUGGGCAUCCGCAUCCACGCCAAGCAGAAGUUGCCCCUCGCAUACAACACGCUCCUCCAGGCUCACGCGGAGAUCGACACCGCCACCCGGAAGCCCAGCCUCCUCGCCCUCCUCGCAAGGCACUUCUUCCCACAGUUUAUAUUAGGAUGA